RNAcentral lists this ribosomal RNA (253 nucleotides) under uncultured bacterium. RNAcentral's name for it is "partial 16S ribosomal RNA". It matches the Rfam family "Bacterial small subunit ribosomal RNA", at positions 524 to 776 of the family's 1533-position model. The record is from RNAcentral.
GACGUUGGUCUCGAGCGUUGCCCGGAUUUACUGGGCGUAAAGUGCGCGUAGCCGGUUCGGUACGUCGUCCGUGAAAGCCCGGGGCUCAACCCCGGGAGGCCGGGCGAGACUGCCGGGCUAGUGGACGGCAGAGGGGGGUGGAGCGGCCGGAGUAGCGGUGAAAUGCGUAGAUACCGGCCGAAAUCCCGAUGGCGAAGGCAACCCGCUGGGCCGUUCCUGACGCUGAGGCGCGAAAGCGUGGGGAGCGAACCGG